UUUUUUCUUUUUUUUCAAGCCUGGCUGCGUUGACCGGGUUGGAUGGAGAACGGGUGAGUAACACGUGAGUAACCUGCCCUGACUUCGGGAUAAGCCCGGGAAACUGGGUAUAAUACCGGAUACGACUGCCGGACGCAUGUCUGGUGGUGGAAAGUUUUUUCGGUUGGGGAUGGGCUCGCGGCCUAUCAGUUUGUUGGUGAGGUAAUGGCUCACCAAGACGACGACGGGUAGCCGGCCUGAGAGGGCGACCGGCCACACUGGGACUGAGACACGGCCCAGACUCCUAACGGGAGGCAGCAGUGGGGAAUAUUGCACAAUGGGGGAAACCCUGAUGCAGCGACGCAGCGUGCGGGACUGACGGCCUUCGGGUUGUAAACCGCUUUUCAGCCAAUGGCAAGAAAUCCGGAAAGUAGAAAGGUCACCUAGCAAGAACAAACGUACCCGGACUAAACCCUAACA
Molecule: ribosomal RNA, 459 nt
Filed under: Brevibacterium sp. SK1
Lineage: Bacteria; Bacillati; Actinomycetota; Actinomycetes; Micrococcales; Brevibacteriaceae
Description: bacterial SSU rRNA
Rfam family: Bacterial small subunit ribosomal RNA
Source: RNAcentral